UCCAAUCAGCUGCCGGUUUUCAUUUUUUGGGCGACAAUACAGAGCAGCGCCGCCUGCUGUUAUGGAGACGUAUUACGUCUCGCGCACGCGCAGAACGUACGCUCAAGUCGGCGUCACUUUGGUGUGCUCUGAGGCACUUUUUGGACCUCGGGGAGCCGACAGAUCAGUCCGACUGCCUUUUUCUGCCGACGGUCGGCCGUCGUGUUGGUGUGUUUAACCGUCUCCACCUACAGCGCCACACGCCGUAGGAUUGUGUGAGUCACAGGCGAGACGGAGGGCUUUUUGCUUUGGGAUUGUUGUUGUUUCUUCAGUUUUUUGGAGCCGGCACAGAGCUGUGAAAACAUCAAUCUACUGCCAGCUGUUAUCAGAGGA
This is a long non-coding RNA of Sander lucioperca (pikeperch), 372 nucleotides long. RefSeq lists it as uncharacterized. The transcript is spliced from 2 exons. The record is from RefSeq and is a predicted model, not a curated record. NCBI's taxonomy places the organism in Eukaryota, Metazoa, Chordata, Actinopteri, Perciformes, Percidae.